UAAAGUUGUUGCAGUUAAAAAGCUCGUAGUUGAAUUUCGGAGUCAGUAAAGUUGGUCGUGCCACUGGUAUGUACUGGCUUUACUGGCUCCUCCUUCUUGAAGAACUGUGAUGUCAUUUACUUGGUGUUGCAGGGAAACAGGACUGUUACUUUGAAAAAAUUAGAGUGUUUAAAGCAGGCUAACGCUUGAAUACAUUAGCAUGGAAUAAUGAAAUAGGACGUUUGAUCCUAUUUUGUUGGUUUCUAGGAUUGACGUAAUGAUUAAUAGGG
This 269-nucleotide ribosomal RNA is filed under the name uncultured Glomus. Its description in RNAcentral is "partial small subunit ribosomal RNA". It matches the Rfam family "Eukaryotic small subunit ribosomal RNA", at positions 605 to 877 of the family's 1831-position model. The record is from RNAcentral. Lineage: Eukaryota; Fungi; Glomeromycota; Glomeromycetes; Glomerales; Glomeraceae.